Molecule: ribosomal RNA, 1201 nt
Filed under: uncultured bacterium
Lineage: Bacteria
Description: bacterial SSU rRNA
Rfam family: Bacterial small subunit ribosomal RNA
Source: RNAcentral
AUUAGAGUUUGAUCCUGGCUCAGAACGAACGCUGGCGGCGCGUCUUAAGCAUGCAAGUCGAGCGGUAAGAUGGAAGCUUGCUUCUAUCCUAGAGCGGCGGACUGGUGAGUAACGCGUGGGUGACGUACCUUUGUGACGGGGACAGCUCCUAGAAAUAGGAGAUAAUACCGGAUACGCUGUAACAUGUCAGAGGUGUUACAGGAAAGGAUCUUUUGAUUCGCACAGAGAGCGGCCCGCGUACUAUUAGCUAGUUGGUGAGGUAACGGCCCACCAAGGCGACGAUAGUUACCCGGCCUAAGAGGGUGAUCGGGCACAUUGGGACUGAGAUACGGCCCAGACUCCUACGGGAGGCAGCAGCUAAGAAUAUUCCGCAAUGGACGAAAGUCUGACGGAGCGACGCCGCGUGGAUGAUGAAGGCCGGAAGGUUGUAAAAUCCUUUUAUGACUGAGGAAUAAGCAGGGUGAGAGAAACGCCCUGUGGUGACUGUAGGUCAUGAAUAAGCAACGGCUAAUUACGUGCCAGCAGCCGCGGUAACACGUAAGUUGCGAGCGUUGUUCGGAAUUAUUGGGCGUAAAGGGCAUGUAGGCGGUUCUGCAAGUCUGGUGUGAAAUACCGGGGCUCAACCCCGGAACUGCGUUGGAAACUGCAGGACUUGAAUCGCUGAGGGGCAGCCAGAAUUCCAGGUGUAGGGGUGAAAUCUGUAGAUAUCUGGAAGAAUACCAAUGGCGAAGGCAGGCUGCCAGCAGAUGAUUGACGCUGAGGUGCGAAGGUGCGGGGAGCAAACAGGAUUAGAUACCCUGGUAGUCCGCACAGUCAACUAUGUACACUAGGUGUCCGGUCAUGAGACUGGGUGCCGAAGCAAACGCGAUAAGUGUACCGCCUGGGGAGUAUGCCCGCAAGGGUGAAACUCAAAGGAAUUGACGGGGCCCGCACAAGCGGUGGAGCAUGUGGUUUAAUUCGAUGGUACGCGAGGAACCUUACCUGGGUUUGACAUACAAAGGGAAUUAUUUAGAGAUAGUAAGCGCAGCAAUGCGCUUUGAACAGUGCUGCAUGCUGUCGUCAGCUCGUGCGUGAGGUGUUGGUAGUCCCGCACGAGCGCACCCCUACUGCAGUACUAACAGUUACGCUGAAGGACUCUGGCGAACUGAGUGACAACCGGAGAGGUGGGAUAACGUCCAAGUCUCAUAUGGACCUUAUGAUC